This 320-nucleotide ribosomal RNA is filed under the name uncultured bacterium. Its description in RNAcentral is "bacterial SSU rRNA". It matches the Rfam family "Bacterial small subunit ribosomal RNA", at positions 470 to 789 of the family's 1533-position model. The record is from RNAcentral.
UGACGGUACCUGACUAAGAAGCUCCGGCUAAAUACGUGCCAGCAGCCGCGGUAAUACGUAUGGAGCAAGCGUUAUCCGGAUUUACUGGGUGUAAAGGGUGUGUAGGCGGCAUGGCAAGUCAGAAGUGAAAGACCGGGGCUCAACCCCGGGGCUGCUUUUGAAACUGUCGUGCUUGAGUCCAGGAGGGGCAAGCGGAAUUCCUAGUGUAGCGGUGAAAUGCGUAGAUAUUAGGAAGAACACCGGUGGCGAAGGCGGCUUGCUGGACUGGAACUGACGCUGAGGCACGAAAGCGUGGGGAGCAAACAGGAUUAGAUACCCUG